CGAACGCUGGCGGCGUGCUUCACACAUGCAAGUCGAACGGAAAGGCCCUGCUUUUGUGGGGUGCUCGAGUGGCGAACGGGUGAGUAACACGUGAGUAACUUGCCCUUGACUUUGGGAUAACUUCAGGAAACUGGGGCUAAUACCGGAUAGGAGCUCCUGCUGCAUGGUGGGGGUUGGAAAGUUUCGGCGGUUGGGGAUGGACUCGCGGCUUAUCAGCUUGUUGGUGGGGUAGUGGCUUACCAAGGCUUUGACGGGUAGCCGGCCUGAGAGGGUGACCGGCCACAUUGGGACUGAGAUACGGCCCAGACUCCUACGGGAGGCAGCAGUGGGGAAUAUUGCACAAUGGGCGGAAGCCUGAUGCAGCAACGCCGCGUGCGGGAUGACGGCCUUCGGGUUGUAAACCGCUUUCGCCUGUGACGAAGCGUGAGUGACGGUAAUGGGUAAAGAAGCACCGGCUAACUACGUG
Molecule: ribosomal RNA, 466 nt
Filed under: uncultured bacterium
Lineage: Bacteria
Description: partial 16S ribosomal RNA
Rfam family: Bacterial small subunit ribosomal RNA
Source: RNAcentral